This 309-nucleotide unclassified non-coding RNA is filed under the name Hevea brasiliensis (rubber tree). The record is from RNAcentral. Lineage: Eukaryota; Viridiplantae; Streptophyta; Magnoliopsida; Malpighiales; Euphorbiaceae.
GGGAAUUUUGAUGGUUCUAUAAGCAUCAGUAAAUUAUUUGUUUAACUAUGUUAACACUGUUUGGUACCUAAAAUAAUGCAUGCUACUUAGUGCCGCUUGGACAUUAGGUUCUGGUAAGAUUGCAAAGAACACCACUCACAUGAGGUAUCUGCAAGACAAUUUUCACAUUUCAUGUUGGAAGCAUGAACAACAUAACGCUGUGAUUUUAGGAAAUUUUAUAUAUGGCUUUGUGCAUCUUAAUAUGCAAAUUUAUCAUUAUAAGAUUACAAAGAAUAUCACUCACAUGUGGUAUCUGCAAGACAAUUUUCG